CCUACGGGUGGCAGCAGUGAGGAAUAUUGGUCAAUGGACGAGAGUCUGAACCAGCCAAGUAGCGUGAAGGAUGACUGCCCUAUGGGUUGUAAACUUCUUUUAUAUGGGAAUAAAACGUUCCACGUGUGGGAUUUUGUAUGUACCAUAUGAAUAAGGAUCGGCUAACUCCGUGCCAGCAGCCGCAGUAAUACGGAGGAUCCGAGCGUUAUCCGGAUUUAUUGGGUUUAAAGGGAGCGUAGGUGGAUUGUUAAGUCAGUUGUGAAAGUUUGCGGCUCAACCGUAAAAUUGCAGUUGAAACUGGCAGUCUUGAGUACAGUAGAGGUGGGCGGAAUUCGUGGUGUAGCGGUGAAAUGCUUAGAUAUCACGAAGAACUCCGAUUGCGAAGGCAGUUCACUGGACUGCAACUGACACUGAGGCUCGAAAGUGUGGGUAUCAAACAGGAUGAGAUACCCGUGUAGUC
RNAcentral lists this ribosomal RNA (460 nucleotides) under uncultured bacterium. RNAcentral describes it as "partial 16S ribosomal RNA". It matches the Rfam family "Bacterial small subunit ribosomal RNA", at positions 338 to 795 of the family's 1533-position model. The record is from RNAcentral.